UAAGGAAUAUUGGUCAAUGGGCGCAAGCCUGAACCAGCCAUGCCGCGUGCAGGAAGACGGCCCUAUGGGUUGUAAACUGCUUUUGUCAGGGAAUAAACCCCCGCUCGUGAGCGGGGCUGAAGGUACCUGAAGAAUAAGCAUCGGCUAACUCCGUGCCAGCAGCCGCGGUAAUACGGAGGAUGCAAGCGUUAUCCGGAUUCAUUGGGUUUAAAGGGUGCGCAGGCGGAUUGGUAAGUCAGGGGUGAAAUCCCACAGCUCAACUGUGGAACUGCCUUUGAUACUGUCAGUCUAGAGUAUAGUUGAAGCGGGCGGAAUGUGUCAUGCAGCGGUGAAAUGCUUAGAUAUGACACAGAACACCGAUCGCGAAGGCAGCUCGCUAAGCUAUAACUGACGCUCAUGCACGAAAGCGUGGGGAUCAAACAG
This 423-nucleotide ribosomal RNA is filed under the name uncultured bacterium. Its description in RNAcentral is "bacterial SSU rRNA". It matches the Rfam family "Bacterial small subunit ribosomal RNA", at positions 355 to 775 of the family's 1533-position model. The record is from RNAcentral.